Tinamus guttatus (white-throated tinamou) is the source of this 677-nucleotide non-coding RNA. Lineage: Eukaryota; Metazoa; Chordata; Aves; Tinamiformes; Tinamidae. The record is from RefSeq and is a predicted model, not a curated record.
AUGAAGCAGGAACAAUGAGUAAAAAGGGCUUUAAAGUGAACUAUAACUUUUUUUCUCAGGUGAGCCUCAGAAACAGAAGGAGGCAGAACUUCGUCACGAAGAACUUUCCUCUCAAGUGGGCGGUUGCAAUGACUUUGCAACCCUUUUAAAUAUUUUUGAACAGUGCAAAUCAAGCAAGUCUCCUUCAGCUUGGUGCCAGAAACACUGGAUCCAUUGGAGAGCUUUAAAGACUGCUUUUAGUGUGGAAACACAACUUCGGGAAAUAAUCAGUAAACUGAAACAGCUGCCAGACUUCCCUAGAGAAAAAUUUGAAGGCUCCAGAACUGAAAUACUAAGAAGAUGUCUGUGUGCAGGGUACUUUAUCAAUGUAGCUAGGAGGUCUGUAGGCAGGACCUUUUGCACAAUGGAUGGACAUGGCAGCGUGGUCUGUAUUCAUCCUUCAUCUACAUUAUACAACCAGGAAACUCAGCUCGAGUGGAUCAUCUUCCAUGAUGUCACAGUGACAUCCAAAAUCUACGUCCGGACAGUGUGUCCAAUUCGCUACGAAUGGGUCAAAGACUUGUUGCCCAAAUUGCAUAAAAUUGAUGCGUAUGAACUGAGCAGUGUGGCACGGGAAGAAGUAACUGAAGAGGAAAUAACCAGGUGGCAAUUCAGAGAGGACCUUAAAAGGCAAUAUG